UGGGGAAUAUUGGACAAUGGGGGGAACCCUGAUCCAGCGACGCCGCGUGAGUGAAGAAGUAUUUCGGUAUGUAAAGCUCUAUCAGCAGGGAAGAAAGAAAUGACGGUACCUGACUAAGAAGCCCCGGCUAACUACGUGCCAGCAGCCGCGGUAAUACGUAGGGGGCAAGCGUUAUCCGGAUUUACUGGGUGUAAAGGGAGCGUAGACGGUUACGCAAGUCUGGAGUGAAAGGCGGGGGCCCAACCCCCGGACUGCUUUGGAAACUGUAUAACUGGAGUGCAGGAGAGGUAAGUGGAAUUCCUAGUGUAGCGGUGAAAUGCGUAGAUAUUAGGAGGAACACCAGUGGCGAAGGCGGCUUACUGGACUGUAACUGACGUUGAGGCUCGAAAGCGUGGGGAGCAAACAGG
Molecule: ribosomal RNA, 407 nt
Filed under: uncultured bacterium
Lineage: Bacteria
Description: bacterial SSU rRNA
Rfam family: Bacterial small subunit ribosomal RNA
Source: RNAcentral